CUAAGCAUGAUAUCCACUUGCAUUUUUGUUGCAUGUUAACACUUGCUACUGACACGUACUGUGUUGCUGUUGUCUGUUUUAUUAUUUUUCACUUAAUUUACUUUGGUCAUAUAUAUUACAUAUAUAUAUAUAUAUUGAAAGUGUAAUAUACACCCAUUAUAUUAUCAUCAUGACUUCUGUGUAAAGAUUCCCUAACUCUCAUGACUCAGAUGGCCCAAUAACAAUAGCACAGGGACCUCUCGAAAGCAGUUGCUCGAAGAGAAGCACUCGGAAUUUGUACGGGAAGCACUGCCGGAGCUCCUUAGCCUCCUAGCUGGGCAUUUGCAAGUGGAAGACACAGAGAAAAAAAAGAAAACGGGUGACAAGCGCACAGCAAGAGAACUCCUAGGUUUCAUGAAGUCCGCAGGUGUGCUGUCCGUUGACGUGGUCAAGUCUCUGUCAUUCAUACUGGGAGCAUCUGUGCAGGGG
This 468-nucleotide long non-coding RNA is filed under the name Penaeus japonicus. Its description in RNAcentral is "uncharacterized LOC122253001". The record is from RNAcentral. Lineage: Eukaryota; Metazoa; Arthropoda; Malacostraca; Decapoda; Penaeidae.